GAUGAACGCUAGCGAUAGGCUUAACACAUGCAAGUCGAGGGGCAGCAUGAUCUUAGCUUGCUAAGGUCGAUGGCGACCGGCGCACGGGUGCGUAACGCGUAUGCAACUUGCCUUACAGAGGGGGAUAACCCGUUGAAAGACGGACUAAAACCGCAUACACUUGUAUUAUUGCAUGAUAUUACAAGGAAAUAUUUAUAGCUGUAAGAUAGGCAUGCGUCCCAUUAGCUGGUUGGUGAGGUAACGGCUCACCAAGGCGACGAUGGGUAGGGGAACUGAGAGGUUUAUCCCCCACACUGGUACUGAGACACGGACCAGACUCCUACGGGAGGCAGCAGUGAGGAAUAUUGGUCAAUGGGCGAGAGCCUGAACCAGCCAAGUCGCGUGAAGGAAGACAGUCCUAAGGAUUGUAAACUUCUUUUAUACGGGAAU
This 429-nucleotide ribosomal RNA is filed under the name Porphyromonas gingivalis. RNAcentral's name for it is "bacterial SSU rRNA". It matches the Rfam family "Bacterial small subunit ribosomal RNA", at positions 28 to 447 of the family's 1533-position model. The record is from RNAcentral. Lineage: Bacteria; Pseudomonadati; Bacteroidota; Bacteroidia; Bacteroidales; Porphyromonadaceae.